UACGUAGGUGGCGAGCGUUGUCCGGAUUUACUGGGCGUAAAGGGCGUGCAGGCGGUUUGUUAAGUGCAGGGUGAAAGCUCCCGGCUCAACUGGGAGAGGUCCUUGCAUACUGGCGAACUCGAGGGAGGCAGAGGAAAGUGGAAUUCCUGGUGUAGCGGUGAAAUGCGCAGAUAUCAGGAGGAACACCUAUUGCGAAGGCAGCUCGCUGGGACGUUACUGACGCUGAGGCACGAAAGCGUGGGGAGCAAACAGG
RNAcentral lists this ribosomal RNA (253 nucleotides) under uncultured bacterium. Its description in RNAcentral is "partial 16S ribosomal RNA". It matches the Rfam family "Bacterial small subunit ribosomal RNA", at positions 524 to 776 of the family's 1533-position model. The record is from RNAcentral.